GCCAGGCAUGGUGGUGCAUGCCUGUAAUCCCUGCUAUCUGGGAGGCUGAGGCAGGAGGAUGGCAAGUUCAAGCCAGCCUUGGGAAUUUAGCAAGACCCUGUCUCAA
RNAcentral lists this small RNA (106 nucleotides) under Marmota monax (woodchuck). Lineage: Eukaryota; Metazoa; Chordata; Mammalia; Rodentia; Sciuridae. The record is from RNAcentral.